RNAcentral lists this ribosomal RNA (492 nucleotides) under uncultured bacterium. RNAcentral describes it as "bacterial SSU rRNA". It matches the Rfam family "Bacterial small subunit ribosomal RNA", at positions 30 to 514 of the family's 1533-position model. The record is from RNAcentral.
AUUGAACGCUGGCGGCAUGCUUUACACAUGCAAGUCGAACGGCAGCACGGGUGCUUGCACCUGGUGGCGAGUGGCGGACGGGUGAGUAAUACAUCGGAACGUGUCCUGAAGUGGGGGAUAACGCAUCGAAAGAUGUGCUAAUACCGCAUAUUCUCUGAGGAGGAAAGUAGGGGAUCGAAAGACCUUAUGCUUUUGGAGCGGCCGAUGUCUGAUUAGCUAGUUGGUAAGGUAAUGGCUUACCAAGGCGACGAUCAGUAGUUGGUCUGAGAGGACGACCAGCCACACUGGGACUGAGACACGGCCCAGACUCCUACGGGAGGCAGCAGUAGGGAAUAUUGGACAAUGGGGGCAACCCUGAUCCAGCCAUGCCGCGUGAGUGAAGAAGGCCCUCGGGUUGUAAAGCUCUUUUGUCCGGAAAGAAAGCAAUCGGUUAAUACCCGGUUGUUCUGACGGUACCGGAAGAAUAAGCACCGGCUAACUUCGUGCCAGCAG